UGGGGAAUAUUGCACAAUGGGCGCAAGCCUGAUGCAGCCAUGCCGCGUGUGUGAAGAAGGCCUUCGGGUUGUAAAGCACUUUCAGCGAGGAGGAAGGUGGUGAGCUUAAUACGCUCAUCAAUUGACGUUACUCGCAGAAGAAGCACCGGCUAACUCCGUGCCAGCAGCCGCGGUAAUACGGAGGGUGCAAGCGUUAAUCGGAAUUACUGGGCGUAAAGCGCACGCAGGCGGUUUGUUAAGUCAGAUGUGAAAUCCCCGGGCUCAACCUGGGAACUGCAUUUGAAACUGGCAAGCUAGAGUCUCGUAGAGGGGGGUAGAAUUCCAGGUGUAGCGGUGAAAUGCGUAGAGAUCUGGAGGAAUACCGGUGGCGAAGGCGGCCCCCUGGACGAAGACUGACGCUCAGGUGCGAAAAGCGUGGGGAGCAAAACAGGAUUAGAUACCCUGGUAGUCCACGCUGUAAAACGAUGUCGAUUUUGGAGGUUGUGCCCUUGAGGCGUGGCUUCCGGAGCU
This 510-nucleotide ribosomal RNA is filed under the name uncultured bacterium. RNAcentral describes it as "partial 16S ribosomal RNA". It matches the Rfam family "Bacterial small subunit ribosomal RNA", at positions 355 to 853 of the family's 1533-position model. The record is from RNAcentral.